UACAGAAGUACCUGACUAUGCCGGACUUUUGUGCAGCCUAUGGCUGCUCUAAUCACCGCAGUCUGCAAACAAGAACCCGUGGGAUCACCUUUCACCUGUUUAAGGCAGUGGGAACUCGCCCUAAGAAGAGACGGUUUUGUUUCCUGUGACAGGACACUGCUCUGCAGUGAGCACUUCAGGAGUGAGGAAUUUGACCGGACAGGGCAGACUAAUGGCGAAUCGCUACCACUAGGAGCAUAUAUCGCCACCUACUAUGUAUUUAUUAAAUCUUCAUGUUCCAUGAGACGCAGCACUAUGUUCCCCACAUAUGUUUAUGUUUGAUCAGUCUAAUAAACCCAUAACAUGGUUGUGAAAGAAUACCAAA
Long non-coding RNA from Gymnodraco acuticeps, 364 nucleotides. RefSeq lists it as uncharacterized. The record is from RefSeq and is a predicted model, not a curated record. NCBI's taxonomy places the organism in Eukaryota, Metazoa, Chordata, Actinopteri, Perciformes, Bathydraconidae. The transcript has 2 exons.